AUACUUAAAACUGGCAGGGGAGAUACCAUGAUCACGAGGGUGGUUUUCCCAGGGUGAGCCUUGUCCAUUGCACUCUGGGUGUGCUGACCCCUGCGAUUUCCCCGAAUGUGGGAAACUCAAUUGUAUCAUUUGUGGUAGUGGGGGACUGUGUUUGCAGUCUCCCCUG
This 166-nucleotide small nuclear RNA is filed under the name Dasypus novemcinctus (nine-banded armadillo). RNAcentral's name for it is "U1 spliceosomal RNA (ENSDNOG00000039210.1)". It matches the Rfam family "U1 spliceosomal RNA". Rfam says of the family: U1 is a small nuclear RNA (snRNA) component of the spliceosome (involved in pre-mRNA splicing). Its 5' end forms complementary base pairs with the 5' splice junction, thus defining the 5' donor site of an intron. Lineage: Eukaryota; Metazoa; Chordata; Mammalia; Cingulata; Dasypodidae. The record is from RNAcentral.